GAUGAACGCUAGCGGCAGGCCUAACACAUGCAAGUCGAGGGGUAUAAAAGAGCUUGCUUUUUAGAGACCGGCAAACGGGUGCGGAACACGUACGCAAUCUGCCCUUAUCACGGGGAUAGCCCAGAGAAAUUUGGAUUAAUACCCGAUAGUAUUAUAAUAAGGCAUCUUGUUGUAAUUAAAGCUAUGGCGGAUAAGGAUGAGCGUGCGCAAGAUUAGCUAGUUGGUGAGGUAACGGCUCACCAAGGCGACGAUCUUUAGCUGAUGUGAGAGCAUGAUCAGCCACACGGGCACUGAGACACGGGCCCGACUCCUACGGGAGGCAGCAGUGAGGAAUAUUGGUCAAUGGACGGAAGUCUGAACCAGCCAUGCCGCGUGAAAGGGAUGAAGGCGUUCUG
Molecule: ribosomal RNA, 395 nt
Filed under: uncultured bacterium
Lineage: Bacteria
Description: bacterial SSU rRNA
Rfam family: Bacterial small subunit ribosomal RNA
Source: RNAcentral